UAAUAGGAACUUGAAGGAGCCAGUCACACCC
RNAcentral lists this non-coding RNA (31 nucleotides) under Rattus norvegicus (Norway rat). Lineage: Eukaryota; Metazoa; Chordata; Mammalia; Rodentia; Muridae. The record is from RNAcentral.